UACGAAGGGGGCUAGCGUUGUUCGGAAUUACUGGGCGUAAAGGGCGCGUAGGUGGCCCGGUCAGUUCGUGGUGAAAGCGCGGGGCUCAACCCUGCGUCGGCCAUGAAUACUGCCGCGGCUGGAGCACUGUAGAGGCAGGCGGAAUUCCGGGUGUAGCGGUGGAAUGCGUAGAGAUCCGGAAGAACACCGGUGGCGAAGGCGGCCUGCUGGGCAGUUGCUGGACACUGAGGCGCGACAGCGUGGGGAGCAAACAGG
RNAcentral lists this ribosomal RNA (255 nucleotides) under uncultured bacterium. RNAcentral describes it as "partial 16S ribosomal RNA". It matches the Rfam family "Bacterial small subunit ribosomal RNA", at positions 524 to 776 of the family's 1533-position model. The record is from RNAcentral.